GACGAACGCUGGCGGCGUGCUUAACACAUGCAAGUCGAACGAUGAAGAAGAGAAACGCGAACUUCGGUUCAAAUUUCACUUCGGAUUAGUGGCAGACGGGUGAGUAACGCGUGAGCAACCUACCUCUUACAAAGGGAUAGCCUCGGGAAACCGUGAUUAAUACCAUAUGACACAUUCAUAAGGCAUCUUAAGAAUGUUAAAGCUACGGCGGUAAGAGAUGGGCUCGCGUCCCAUUAGCUAGUUGGUGAGGUAACGGCCCACCGAGGCGACGAUGGGUAACCGGCCUGAGAGGGUGAACGGUCACAUUGGAACUGAGACACGGUCCAAACUCCUACGGGAGGCAGCAGUGGGGAAUAUUGCACAAUGGAGGGAACUCUGAUGCAGCGACGCCGCGUGAGCGAUGAAGGAAUUCGUUUCGUAAAGCUCUGUUCUAUGGGAAGAAAAGGACUGUACCAUAGGAGAAAGCCCCGGCUAAAUACGUG
This 482-nucleotide ribosomal RNA is filed under the name uncultured bacterium. Its description in RNAcentral is "partial 16S ribosomal RNA". It matches the Rfam family "Bacterial small subunit ribosomal RNA", at positions 28 to 507 of the family's 1533-position model. The record is from RNAcentral.